Molecule: long non-coding RNA, 774 nt
Filed under: Melopsittacus undulatus (budgerigar)
Lineage: Eukaryota; Metazoa; Chordata; Aves; Psittaciformes; Psittaculidae
Description: lncRNA (ENSMUNG00000021072.1)
Source: RNAcentral
CCUCAAGUCCUCGACAGGACCUGCCCAAGAGCUCAGCUACCGCGAGGAGGUGACUCACCGGGGGCGGAGACAGGAGGAGUGGCACCAACUGUGAGUAGUUAAAAACCUACCCAGGGAGCGCGGCGACCAGAGCGGGUCGAGGCAGUUUGCGCAAGCAGGCGAGCAGGAUGGUGAGCACUCGCCGUACGACCAGGGUCUGAUCUGGGAGCUCUGCCUUGGCUGACCCGGUGGUGGCCAGCGUAGGCACCCAGACAGAGCCGAUACCUAUGCAACAGUAAGGAAAAGAAGUGAGCAAAGGAGAUAUGAGGACACUCCAGUACUUCCUCAAGGAGUCAAGCACCUGUCAAGUUGUAUUGUUGAUACACCCCAGCAAUGAGACACUACAAAAGCUGUUCAAAGAAGAACAUAUUUUUCCUGAGCAUUGUUCUGGGGAAAAAAACCCACAACCUCAAAGCGAAUCUUUUCAGAAAGUUGAAGACAAGAAUGGUUGGAAGAAUAUUGUCAACAGAGAUGAAACAAUACAACAGUUAUUGAAGAUAUGUGUAAGAGGCUCUGCAAGUCUUUGUCUCUUGGAUCCAGGACAAUUAUGGAUAAGAUGGACCAAGAACCAAUGAAGAAAGAAGAUUCUUGAGAAGUUUGGGUUGCCCAGCAGACCAUGAAGAAACAUGCAUUUGAAAAGGGUGUAUGCAAAAAAACAUGCUAGAACAUGCAGAUAACUGAGUUUAUAUCAAAUUGAGUGGGAUAAAUGGCUGGUUUUUGCCUGUUUAUGUCUGU